Molecule: long non-coding RNA, 299 nt
Filed under: Calidris pugnax (ruff)
Lineage: Eukaryota; Metazoa; Chordata; Aves; Charadriiformes; Scolopacidae
Description: lncRNA (ENSCPUG00000000556.1)
Source: RNAcentral
GGGUCCCCCUCGCCUUCUCCGUGGGGCUGGGGGUCGUCGUCCCCCCCCUCGGUGUCUCCGUGGGGCUGGGGGUCCUCCUCGCUGUCUCCGUGGGGCUGGGGGUCCCCCUCAGUGUCUCUGUGGGGCUGGGGGUCCCCGUCACUGUCUCCGUGGGGCUGGGGGUCCUCAUCCCCCCCCUCGGUGUCUCUGUGGGGCUGGGGGUCCUCGCUCCCCCCCUCGCUGUCUCCAUGGGACUGGGGGUCCCUCUUGGUGUCUCCGUGGGGCUGGGGGUCCUCGUCCCCCCCUCGCUGUUGUUAUGG